GGCCCACAUAGGCAUGCAAAAGAGUCCGGACAAAAAGAUAGGGAUAAAAGGUCCGUUGGAGCGUAAAGGGGUUAUCGGCGUGCAGUUACAGGUGUCGGUUUCCUGGACUAAAGACAUAUCCUCAUUUUGUUACCGGUAACCGGAUAGUAUAAAAAGUAAUAUUUAUAUAUAUUUUUAUAUCUAUUUGGGGAAAAAUAUCGAGAGUGGGUUUGGGUGCUUUGCUUGGCGGGUUUGAAAAGCCAAAAAGGGCGUCGAGGAAAAACGUUUUUGAUUCGACUCCAAGACAACACCGGACGCCGAAAGAGAUGCUUAUGCUUUGCCAAAGCGGACAGAGGUUCUACUGUGUGCUUUCGGAGCUUUCUCUGAGACUCAUUUUUCA
This 379-nucleotide unclassified non-coding RNA is filed under the name Hevea brasiliensis (rubber tree). The record is from RNAcentral. Lineage: Eukaryota; Viridiplantae; Streptophyta; Magnoliopsida; Malpighiales; Euphorbiaceae.